This 301-nucleotide ribosomal RNA is filed under the name uncultured bacterium. RNAcentral's name for it is "partial 16S ribosomal RNA". It matches the Rfam family "Bacterial small subunit ribosomal RNA", at positions 509 to 807 of the family's 1533-position model. The record is from RNAcentral.
CAGCCGCCGCGGGAAUACGAAGGGGGCUAGCGUUGUUCGGAUUUACUGGGCGUAAAGCGCACGUAGGCGGAUCGAUCAGUCAGGGGUGAAAUCCCAGAGCUCAACUCUGGAACUGCCUUUGAUACUGUCGAUCUGGAGUAUGGAAGAGGUGAGUGGAAUUCCGAGUGUAGAGGUGAAAUUCGUAGAUAUUCGGAGGAACACCAGUGGCGAAGGCGGCUCACUGGUCCAUUACUGACGCUGAGGUGCGAAAGCGUGGGGGGCAAACAGGAUUAGAUACCCCAGUAGUCCCUGUCUCUUAUAC